CGGGGCGUGGCGCAGUCUGGUAGCGCACUACAAUGGGGUUGUAGGGGUCGGAGGUUCAAAUCCUCUCGCCCCGACCA
RNAcentral lists this transfer RNA (77 nucleotides) under Gammaproteobacteria bacterium. Its description in RNAcentral is "tRNA-Pro". It matches the Rfam family "tRNA". Rfam says of the family: Transfer RNA (tRNA) molecules are approximately 80 nucleotides in length. Their secondary structure includes four short double-helical elements and three loops (D, anti-codon, and T loops). Further hydrogen bonds mediate the characteristic L-shaped molecular structure. tRNAs have two regions of fundamental functional importance: the anti-codon, which is responsible for specific mRNA codon recognition, and the 3' end, to which the tRNAs corresponding amino acid is attached (by aminoacyl-tRNA synthetases). tRNAs cope with the degeneracy of the genetic code in two manners: having more than one tRNA (with a specific anti-codon) for a particular amino acid; and 'wobble' base-pairing, i.e. permitting non-standard base-pairing at the 3rd anti-codon position. The record is from RNAcentral. Lineage: Bacteria; Pseudomonadati; Pseudomonadota; Gammaproteobacteria. RNAcentral also lists the same sequence under 2 other names.